CACGUAGGGGACGAGCGUUGUCCGGAUUCAUUGGGCGUAAAGCGCGCGUAGGCGGCUCGGAAAGUCGGUCGUGAAAUGCCGGGGCUCAACCCCGGGACUGCGUCCGAUACUCCCGAGCUGGAGGCAGGUAGGGGAGAUCGGAAUUCCUGGUGUAGCGGUGAAAUGCGCAGAUAUCAGGAGGAACACCGGUGCCGAAGGCGGAUCUCUGGGCCUUGCCUGACGCUGAGGCGCGAAAGCUAGGGGAGCGAACAGG
Molecule: ribosomal RNA, 253 nt
Filed under: uncultured bacterium
Lineage: Bacteria
Description: partial 16S ribosomal RNA
Rfam family: Bacterial small subunit ribosomal RNA
Source: RNAcentral